AGAGAGAGACAUGCGCGCAUAUCAAUAAGCGGAGGAAAAGAAACUAACUAGGAUUCCCUCAGUAACGGCGAGUGAAGCGGGAAGAACUCAAAUUUGAAAUCUUCAAGGCUCUACCUUGACGAAUUGUAGUUUAAAGAAGUGUUUUCUGUUGGAGUUUUGGUAAAAGUUCUUUGGAAUAGGACAUCAUAGAGGGUGAGAAUCCCGUAUUUGACCAUUAUUUCCAGCUUUGUGAUACACUUUCAAGGAGUCGGAUUGUUUGGGAAUGCAGUCCAAAAUGGGUGGUAAAUUUCAUCUAAAGCUAAAUAUUGGCGAGAGACCGAUAGCGAACAAGUAUCGUGAGGGAAAGAUGAAAAGAACUUUGAAAAGAGAGUUAAACAGUACGUGAAAUUGUCAAAAGGGAAGCGCUUGACACCAGUGUUGUUUUCUCGAAAAUCAAUUAAAAAAGGCAGGAUUUUGUGUUGUAUUGACUUUAUCAGCUUUCUGCACUCUUUUCUUGUCUUUUUUAAUGCACUUUUCGUUAACAAGUCAACAUCAAUUUCUUUUGUUGUAAAAGGGUCAUUGGAAGGUGGCUUUCUUUUCGGAGAAAGUGUUUAUAGCCUUUGGCCUCUGCAAUCGGAGAGAUUGAGGUCUGCAGCGUAGAUCCUUCGGGGUUAGAUACAUUUGUGCUAAGUUAUAGCCUUUCAUAGACAACUUGUUGACUAUGAUCAGUCAUGUAGCUUACUCGCUUAUGCUAUUUUACCUACGCUUAGGAUGUUGAUGUGAUACUGCGAGCA
This 773-nucleotide ribosomal RNA is filed under the name uncultured Neocallimastigales. RNAcentral describes it as "partial large subunit ribosomal RNA". It matches the Rfam family "Eukaryotic large subunit ribosomal RNA", at positions 23 to 646 of the family's 3401-position model. Lineage: Eukaryota; Fungi; Neocallimastigomycota; Neocallimastigomycetes; Neocallimastigales. The record is from RNAcentral.